CCGUCUCUCUUUUUUCUCUGCGAUUUUUCUUUCUUCUCUUCUUCUCUUCAAGGUCUGUUGAUGAAGAGCUUGAAGAACCGAUUGAAGUAAAGCGAAACCCGUUUAAUCAUUGAGAUCUUCUCAUUUGCCGCCUCUAUUUUAACUCAGUUUUUUCUUCUCUCUCUUCUUUUGUUCAAGGUCUAUUGAUGAAGAACUUGAAGAACUGAUUGAAGUAAGAAGUUCUACAAGAUAAGUGGUGAUGAUAGUGAUUCGACGAAAAUGAGACUUCUUAGGUGCCUAGAAGGAUCUUUAGGGUUGAACUAUUCAGCACUAAUAGAUGGACUAUUUAUAAUGAUGUGGAUGUGAAGUUUGGUGGUCUUGAUUGGUUGAUGGAACUUAUUGCAUGGGAGAUGCAAAUCAGAGAAACAAAGAUCAUUAACUUGUUUUGGUUCUCUCCAGAUAAUGUGCCAGAACUAAUUACAAAUGAUAAUGAGUACUUUAACAUGUGGAAUAGGGCUGAAAUUCAAGAUGAUGGUUAUGUGCAUCUUUACAUAAGUAUUAGUGACAGAGUUGUAAAGUCUGGUGAUAAAUGCCAAUCAUCUUUUGUGGUGACUAAUGAAGAUAUGCAUUUAACACCUAAGAAGAAGGUGACACAUGAAGAUGACUUUGUGUUUUCAACACCUAAGAAGAAGGUUAUAAGCAAUUCACCGAUAGUUUCUCCUGCUUUUAGGAAAAGUCCAAGGUUGGUUUGUAAGUCAAUUGAUGCUCAGAUAAAUGCUGCAUUUAGUAGGUUACUUUUGGAAUAUGAGGCAGUGUGCCAUCCAGAUGAUAAUGUGGAUGUAGAGUAUGAAAACAUUCAACUAGAUAAUGUGGAAGAGGAUGUGUGCCAUCCAUUUGAUGAUGAUAGAAGUCCACCAUGCUCUGAUGAUGAGGAGAAUGAUAUCGACAUAACUGAUGUAAGAGAUUUUGUGAACAUCUACUUUAAUGAUGACUUUUGGCAGAACUUUAGAAAGGAAGACUUUGUAGGUUCACAAGGAGAUGAUGUACCUGAAGGGGAUAAAGGAAAAAGUGUUGCAGUGGCUUUAGUGCCUAGUGAUGAUGACAACUGCCUUGGUAACUCACGGUAUCACUCUGACUCUGAAGAUGAGAAGCUUGACUCUAAAGAUGAGAAGCUUGACUCUAAAGAUGAGAAGAAGAAAACAGAGGCCCUUCAAAGCUUUUACCAUGAAUGAGACUAAGAAUGGGGUCCACAUAUUGCUGAUAUGGAUGAAGACUUAUUUCAUGUUGAUGAUGGUCAUGUAGUGUAUAAUCCUGAUUUAAUGGAGGUGGGCAUGCAGUUUGAAGACAAGAUACAGUUUAAGAAGCAUCUCAGGACUUAUGCAGUGAUAAAGAAAUUUCAGUAUAUUUUGAAGCCUUGUGACAAUAGAACGAUAAGAGUGAAAUGUAGGUAUCAUAAGUCUGAAGGUUGUAAGUUUCAAAAAUUUGCAUCAAAUACAAAGGGGAGAAGACUUUUACUGUUAGAAGUAUGAAUAUGGAGCAUACUUGUGUUGGAGAUCCAUUUAGCAUAAAUAAAUCAGCAAAUGCAGAGUUUGCUGCUCAUUAUAUGUUUGAGAAGUUGAAGACUGGUGGAUUCCUUCAGCAGCCAUGGGACAUUGCAGAUGAAUUCUACACUUCUCACAAAACUUCUCUGCCAUAUAAUGUUGCUUGGAAAGCUAGGACUAUGUGCUUGGAAAAAAUGCAUGGUAGUUAUGAAGAGUCUUAUAAAAUGGUUCCAUCCUUUGUAGACAUGGUGGCAAGUACAAAUCCUGGUUCAGUAGCAAAUUACAGUGUUGGAAGGGAUGAUAAUUGCUUUGAUUCAAUGAUGAUUGCAUUUCAUGCUCCAAUUCAUGGGUGGAAAAAUGGUUGCAGAAAAGUGGUUGGUGUUGAUGCAUGUCACCUUACUGAAAAGCUGGGAGGUUGUCUUAUGGAUGCUACUGGUUUAGAUGCACAAAACCAGGUUGUACCAUUAACAAUACAAGUGGUCAGAAAUGAAUGUUUUGAGAAUUGAUAUUUGUUUUUGAAGCAGUUAAAGCCCCUGAUUGAAUCAGAUGAAACAAUUACUUUUAUUUCUGAUAGGCAAAAAGGUUUGAUUGAGGAUGUUAGUGCUUUAUUUCCAGGAAGCCCACACAGAUAUUGUUUUAGACACAUGUUCAAGAAUUGAAGACUCAUUACAAGGGUUCAAAGAUACAUAACCUUAUCUGGAAUGCUGUUAAAGCCUAUAAGUUCACCCACUGGAAGUUCCAUAUGGAUGCUUUGGUGCUGGAAUAUGCAGCUAUUGCUCAAUAUAUGAUGAAUGAGGAUCCUACCCAGUGGAGAAAGCAGUUGUCUUUGAACUGGAAAAAUGAAGAAUUAGUACCUGAAGCAAUGAAGCUGAUUGAGAAGAUGAAAGAAUGCACUGCAAGGAAAACAGCAUCAGGGACCCACUGGAAGUCUUGACAUUGGAUGUUGUUGCAUUGCAGGCACUGUACUGGUGGUUUAUGUCACCACAAGCAAAGCAGCACUUAUUGGCAGGAAGCUGAACAUCCAAAUCUUCAACAGUAUUUAUUGCAUCUACAAACCAUUCAAAAUAGUUGCAGAUGGAGCAGUUGAAGAACUUCUCACCAGGAUGCUCAGUAGUUUGAGACAGCAACAUUCUCCUAAAACCAUUGCAAGAUAAAUGGAUGGUGGUUUUAUAGAAGACAAAACAUAAUAUGACCGUUCAACGGUCAUAUUUGGGUGAUAGUGAUGACGUGUACAACUUGCCACGUCAUGGUUAUCUGCCAGGUGGCACAUGCAGAGAUGACAUGGACAUGUUGACACAUGUGCAAGAUGCCACGUAGGCAACUGUAGUUAACUACCUAGAAUUAGAUGUCAAGGGCAGGUUUGUCUACUCUUGGGCGCAAAUAUAUGUGACGUGGCACCGUUUUUUUCAUUUGAAAAUUUCGGAUGGAGAACAUUGUCAGAGGAACAUGAUUGUAAUUCUGUUUUAAAGAGGAACAUAUUUGUAAUUAAAAUUAUAAAGAGGUACAUAUAGUUAAAAAAACCCUUGAAAAAUUCA
Molecule: long non-coding RNA, 3055 nt
Organism: Papaver somniferum (opium poppy)
Lineage: Eukaryota; Viridiplantae; Streptophyta; Magnoliopsida; Ranunculales; Papaveraceae
Exons: 10
Source: RefSeq, a predicted model, not a curated record